GAUGAACGCUGGCGGCGUGCCUAAUACAUGCAAGUCGAGCGAACAGACGAGGAGCUUGCUCCUCUGACGUUAGCGGCGGACGGGUGAGUAACACGUGGAUAACCUACCUAUAAGACUGGGAUAACUUCGGGAAACCGGAGCUAAUACCGGAUAAUAUAUUGAACCGCAUGGUUCAAUAGUGAAAGACGGUUUUGCUGUCACUUAUAGAUGGAUCCGCGCCGCAUUAGCUAGUUGGUAAGGUAACGGCUUACCAAGGCAACGAUGCGUAGCCGACCUGAGAGGGUGACCGGCCACACUGGAACUGAGCCACGGUCCAGACUCCUACGGGAGGCAGCAGUAGGGAAUCUUCCGCAAUGGGCGAAAGCCUGACGGAGCAACGCCGCGUGAGUGAUGAAGGUCUUCGGAUCGUAAAACUCUGUUAUUAGGGAAGAACAAAUGUGUAAGUAACUAUGCACGUCUUGACGGUACCUAAUCAGAAAGCCACGGCUAACUACGUG
RNAcentral lists this ribosomal RNA (497 nucleotides) under uncultured bacterium. RNAcentral describes it as "partial 16S ribosomal RNA". It matches the Rfam family "Bacterial small subunit ribosomal RNA", at positions 28 to 507 of the family's 1533-position model. The record is from RNAcentral.